CCUCUUUAAUAGAAAACCUACCUGCCAGCAGCUGCCACAGCCUCUAGCAGUGUCUGCAGCUGAAACCCGCACACUGAGCCCAAGGAGCUGAUCAUGGCCAAUGACAAUCUGUGGUAUGAAGGGAUACCUUUCCCGAGGGUCAAUUUCAAACUUGAAAUCCUCAGAAAAGCACAAGAAGAGUUUAUGGUAGAGGAUGAUGAUGUUGUAACAGUGACUUACCCCAAAUCAGGAACAAACUGGUUAAUAGAGAUACUCUGCCUGAUUCACUCCAAGGGGGAUACCAAGUGGAUCCAGUCUGUGCCCAUCUGGAAACACUCACCCUGGAUAGAGACUCAGUAUGGGUUUGCGUCAGCAAAUAAAAUGGAGGGCCCACGCUUGCUCAGUUCUCACCUCCCCAUCCAUCUCUUCCCCAAGUCUUUCUUCAGUUCCAAAGCCAAGGUAAUUUAUGUCAUCAGAAAUCCCAAAGAUAUUAUUGUAUCUGGCCAUUUCUUCUGGAAUUCCGUGAAUUUGGCUAAGAAACCAAAGUCAAUGGAACAAUACCUUGAAUGGUUCCUGGAAGGAAAUGUGCCAUAUGGGUCAUGGUUUGACCACGUUCGUGGCUGGGUGUCCAUGAGAGAGAGGGAGAACUUCCUGAUGCUGAGUUAUGAGGAGCUGAAACAGGACACAGAAAGAACUGUGGAGAAGAUCUGUCAUUUCCUGGGUAAGAAGGUAGAGCCAGAAGAACUCAGCCUAAUCCUCAAGAACAGCUCCUUCCAGGCCAUGAGAGAAAACAAGAUGUCCAAUUUCUCCCUGCUGGGUGAUGCUUAUUUAGUUCACAAAAACCCACUUCUGAGAAAAGGAGUAACUGGGGACUGGAAAAAUUACUUUACGAUAGCCCAGGCUGAAACCUUUGAUAAAGUAUUCCAGGAAAAGAUGGCAGAUCUUCCUCGGGAGCUGUUCCCAUGGGAAUAACGUCUAUGAUAUUUCUGGAUCUUAUAUGGAUACUGAUAUUUGUUCUCCUGUCUCUACAUGUGUGCACAAUUGGGGGUCAUUGCAUAAAACCUACUAUUUCAUCCUGGAGCCUUGAAUGAUCAAAUCUUUGUAUCUUUGACCAGUUCCUUGUUAAAAAUCACCAUAGUACCCCUACACAUGUCAUGGGAUCCCAGACCCUAAAUGUUUGUAGUGUUUCAAACAUAGAAAAUGCUACAGAAAUAAUAUAAGUGUUAUCCAUAAGUGUGUUCAAAAUACAAGUUUUUUUGAGACAGAUUCUUGCUGUGUCACUGGAACUAGAAUGCAAUGAUGUCAUCAUAGCUCCCUGCAACCUCCAACUACUAGGCUUGAGAAAUUCUCCUGUCUUGGCCUCCUGAGUACCUGACAUUACAGGUGUGCACUUCUAUUCCCACAUAAUUAUUAUUAUUAUUAUUUUUUUCCUCCUCUUACUCAGGAGGAUCUCCAAUGUCUGGCCUCAAGUAAUACUCCCACAGUCAGCCUCCCACAGUCCCAGUAUUACAGUGAUGAGCUGUGAAGACUGGCCAAAUUUUUUUUAUAAAAAUUAGAAAGAGUGACAGUUAUAGAUGUGAGACCAAGAAUAAUAAAAAUAAGAAAUAAAUCAUAGAAGCAAUUAAGGCCCCUUCUCUUCUCAUCAGGUGUAUCUUUACAAUUUAUUAUUAUUAUGGACUUAUGAACAUAAUUUCUACAGAAAAACAGACUGUUCCAUAAAAUGAGUGAGGCCAUUUUGAAGAUAAACCACCUUGACCAACAUUUCACACCUACAUGGCAAAAUGUUCUGCAGCAAAGUCUUUCAACUAUGCCUACAGCCUACACAACCCCUCAUAAAUGUACAGUACACCCUCCAUAGUUGAUCACCUCCCUACAUUGACCACUUCCUUAUGUUGACCUAAUUUUCUUUUCUUUUUCUUUUUUUUUUUUUUUGAGACGGAGUCUCACUAUGUCACCCUCAAUAGAGUGCCAUGGCAUCAGCUCACAGUAACCUCUAACUCUUGGGCUUAAGCAAUUCUCUUGCCUCAGACUCCCAAGUAAUUGGGACUACAGGUGCCUGCCACAACACCCGGCAAUUUUUUUUUGUUGAACUUGUCAUUGUUAUUUAGCAGGCCCAGAUCUGGUUCGAACCUGUCUGUUUAGAGUAUAUGGCCGGCACCCUAACCACUGAGCUAUGGGUACCAAGCCCAUUAAGCUAAUUUUCAUGGACCAACAUGCACCACAUGUACGUAUAAGUCCUAGUUCCUUCUGUUGACCAUCUGUGUGUCUUGACCAGUUUAUUAAAGUCCUUCAGGAGGUCAACUUACAGAGGUUCUUCUGUGCUUAUCUAAUCUCUCCAGUGGUCAUUCCAAAGCCCAUCUAAGACAUGACCAGCUGCUUCUGUUUUACCCUAAAACCUUGGUGUAGAAACCAGGAUGUUUUCUAGAGGGCGAAUGUGAGGACCUAAUGUCUCUCAACCACCAAGACAUCACUUCAGGUUUUUCACUCAAAAUUGGUCCUGAGGACAUAAUGGGACUCAGAGCAGAAACGUUUGGUAAGACUGCACCAUAAAUGACUUUGUGAAGCUCAUACUGUACCACAGUGAUCUGAUUCAUUUUGCUUCCUGACAUAGGACUGUCCUGAGCUAAAGAUGGACAAUCUUAAGUGGCUUGGCCAGACAAGAUCUGCAAGGAACAGACCUAGCUUCUUCCUCAGUGCAUAUCAGGACUGUUCUGAUGAAGGAGCAUGUGGGCAGACUUACUGGGGAGACAGGAGAAUGCAGAGCUCUGUGCCUCACACUUGUGCCCACUCAGGGCAUCCUCACUGCAGAGGGGGUGCUCCCUUCCCACCCUGCUGUGAGCUCCCAUGGGCUCAUGAAUGAGGAGUUACCAGGAACAUGGUCUUAAAAGCUUGGGGAUCCUAUGGUGACAGCUGACCCAGCUGUUGCUGCUUUCUCAUGUCUGAUGUGUUGGUCUCUGGACCGACUCUGAGUCCUUCAUGCAGUGCAUCCUUCAAGGGGGUGCCAAGCAAUCACUGAGCAGCAAGUUCAGCACAUCACACCCAUUUCAACACAAAGCUGGCACUGGUCGGCAUUAUAAUUGACACCUUCCUGUAUAUAAUGCCUCAGCCACCACUACUAUCUGGGGGCUGACAGAAUGCUGGAUUGCCUGACACAGGAAUCUAUACAUUAUUUCUUCCAAGCAAAAGAUCAAUUGUCUGGCAAUGGGAUUGCAAUGAAGGGCACAUGACCUCACAAUUCACUGUACACGGAGAAAAGCAAGACGCUGUAUGUCUUUGGAAGACAGAGCCUACUUCGGUGUCACAAUGGAACGUACAAUUAAAAAAAUGGACGAAGAUUAUUAGUACUUUUAGAUGCAUGGGUUAUUCAGAAAUUUCUUGUUUAAUUUAAAAGUAUUUGAAGAUUGGGCAGUGCCUGUGGCUCAAAGGAGUAGAGCGCUGACCCCAUAUACCAGAGCUGGCGGGUUCGAACCUGGCCCUGGCCAAAAACUGCAAAAAAUUUUUUUUGAAGAUUUAUAGAUAUCUUAUGGUUGUUGAUUUAUAAUUUAAUGCUGUUAAUGUAAGAGAGUAAUUUAUAUUAUUUCCAAUUCAUGACAUUUGUUGAGCUUUGUCUGAUGGCAGAGCAUUUGGCCUGUCUUGGUGAAUAAGCCUUGUGACUUGAAAAGAAUGCGUAUUAUAUUGCUUUUAGGUGUAGUAUUCUGAAAAGACAAAUUAAGUCCUAUUGGUUGGAUCAAUGUUCUCCAGUGACCCUGGUGGAUAGGAAGUACUUUUGAUUUGCAUUUCCCUAAUGACUAAUAACCUUGAACCACUUUUCCUGCAUGUGUUGGCUGUUUGCUUAUCUUCUUUGAAUGUCUACUUCAGUUUUGGGCCCAUUUUUUAAUUGACUUUUAUUGUUGAAUUCUUUAUUUGUUCAGAAAUAUAUUUUGUAAAUAUUGUCUCCUAUUCUGUAGGUUUUUUUUCCACAGUCUUAGUAGUGUUCUUUGAGGCACAAAAGUUUUUCACUUCAACCUGCACCAAUUCAUCUAUUUUUUUCUUCUUCCUUAGCAUGUGAAUUGAUGUUUCCUUGGGAAAGAAAUCACUGGCAAAUUCAAGGUCAUGGACAUUUACCCAUAUCUUUAGUCUAAGAGUUUUAGGAUAUUUCAGUUAUUCGAUCCAUUUUAAUUAAGUAAUGUAUACAUUAUAAGGUAAGUUUCCAGCUUUAUUCUUUUCAUGUAAAUAUAUAGUUGUUACUGCCUCAGUUGUUGAGGAGGAUAGUUUUUUUUUUUUUUUUAGGUAGAAUCUCACUCUGUUACCCAGGCAAGGGUAGAGUGGCGUCAUCACAGCUCACAGCAACCUCAAACUUGUGGGCCCAGGUGAUCCUCCCACUAAGCUGUGACUAUGGGUCACAGGCCAAGUUUUUCUACUUUUCAUAGGGAUGACGUCUCACUGUUGCGCAAGCUGGUCUUGAACUUCUCAGCUCAAGUAAUUGUCCCACCUUAGCUUCUCACGGUGCUACAAUUGUAGUUGCAAGCCUCUGUGCCUGGCCAAUUAUUCUUUUAUCUCUCAAAAUUUCAGUGUGUAUUUCCUAAGAACAAAGAUAAGUGUUGUAUGUCCACAGUAAAAUUAUAGAAAUCAGGGAAACUGAUAAUGAUACAAAAUUAUUCAACAUCAUCUAAAUCCACAUUGUAUGUUCAGAUUUGAGCAAUUGAUCCAUUGACAUAAUUACAACAUGGUGUGCAUGUGUGGUCCAGGACACACACAGCACUUAGCUUCAUGUUCCUUCAUUUUGAGACUUGUGCUCCAUUUCUUUGUUUUCAUGACCAUGUGACAAUUCAGAGUACAGGCUUAUUAUUUUGCAGAAUGUUUCUCUAUUGGGCGUUAUACAAUGUGAUCUUAUGAAUAUAUUCAAGUCCAGAACAGAUGUUUAAGACAGGCCCACAGAGAAAGGGAGGAGGGGAAAAGGAAAAUUACAGUGGAGAAAUCUGAAACAUGUGACUUCAGAUGACCAAUGUAAGGCCAUGUUGAUAGUAAGUACUCUUGAUAUUUUGUGAUGAUAAUGCCAUUUGUGUCUAUGACCUGUCUCUUCAUGAACCCAGUCUAAUUAUGAGAAAAAAAAAAAUCCAAUCAGUCUCACUGUGGGGACAGUCUACAAAAUAACCGACCAGUACUUCUCAAAAUUGUCAGACCUCAAAAACAAAGGAAGUCUGAGAAACAGUCACAGCUGAGAGGAGCCAAGAGAGACUUGAUGAUGAUAUGUAAUCUGAUGACCGGGAUGGGGUUUUGGAGAAGAAAAAGAACAUUAGGUAAAAAUUCAGGAAAUCUGGGCUGGGUGCAGUUCUCAUACCUAUAAUCCUAGCACGUGGGGGGCUGAGACAGGUGGAUUGCCUGAGUUCACAGGUUCGAGACCAGCCUGAGCCAGAGUGAGACCUCAUCUCUAAAAAAGCUAGGCAUUGUGGUGGGCGCCUGCAGUCUCAGCUACUCAGGAGGCUGAGGCAAAAGAAUCACUUGAGCCCAAGAGUUUAAGGUUGCUAUGAGCUAUGACGCCACGGCUCUCUACCGAGGGUGACAAAGUGAGACACUGUCUCAAAAAAAAAAAAAAAAUUCAGGAAAUCUGAAUGAGGUAUGGACAAUGGGAUUCAGCUGGAAUCUUUUUGCCAUUUUUCUGUAAAUCUAAAAAUGUUUUAAAAAAUAACACUGAUUAAAACUAUUUUUUAUAUACACACAUUUUUAUGUCCUUGCAUUUGUUAGUGAAUUUCCAGUUCACUCCUAUGAAUUCAACUCACAUUGUCUUCAGAAUGUUUUCUUCUUUUUUUUUUUUAUUAAAUCAUAGCUGUGUACAUUAAUGCAAUCAUGGGGCACCAUACACUGAUUUUAUAGACCAUUUGACACAUUUUCAUCACACUGGUUAACAUGGCCUUCCUGGCAUUUUCUUAGUUAUUGUGUUAAGACAUUUCCAUUCUACAUUUACUAAGUUUCACAUAUACCCUGGUAAGAUGCACCGCAGGUAUAAUCCCACCAAUCCCUCUCCCUCCGCCCUCCUCCUCCCUCCCUCCACUCCCUUUCCCCCUUCCCUCUAUUCUUAGGUUAUAACUGGGUUAUAGCUUUCAUGUGAAAACCAUAAAUUAGUUUCAUAGUAGGGCUGAGUACAUUGGAUACUUUUUCUUCCAUUCUUGAGAUACUUUACUAAGAAGAAUAUGUCCAGCUCCAUCCAUGUAAACAUGAAAGAGGUAAUGUCUCCAUCUUUCUUUACGGCUGCAUAAUAUUCCAUGGUAUACAUGUACUACAAUUUGCUAGUCCAUUCAUGGGUCGAUGGGCACUUGGGCUUCUUCAUGACUUAGCAAUUAUUAAUUGGGCUGCAAUAAAUAUUCUGGUACAGAUGUCUUUGUUAUGUUGUGAUUUUUGGUCUUCUGGGUAUAAACCUAGUAAAAGAAUUAUAGGAUCGAAUGGCAGGUCUAUUUUUAGAUCUCUAAGUAUUCUCCAAACAUCCUUCCAGAAGGAACGUAUUAGUGUGCAUUCCCACCAGCAGUGUAGAAGUGUGCCCUUUUCUCCACAUCCAAGCCAACAUCUCUGGUUUUGGGAUUUUGUUAUGUGGGCUACUCUUACUGGGGUUAGGUGAUAUCUCAAAGUAGUUUUGAUUUGCAUUUCUCUGAUGAAUAAGGAUGAUGAGCUUUUUUUAUGUGUUUGUAGAUCGUGCAUCUGUCUUCUUUAGAGAAGUUUCUCUUCAAGUCCCUUGCCCACCCUGAGAUGGGAUCACGUGUUCUUUUUUUGCUAAUACAUUUGAGUUCUCUGUGGAUUCUGGUUAUUAGACCUUUAUCAGAGGUAUAACCUGCAAAUAUUUUCUCCUAUUCUGAGGGCUGUCUGCUUGCUUUACUUACUAUGUUCUUGGCUGUGCAGAAGCUUUUUAGUUUGAUCAGGUCCCAGUAGUGCAUUUUUGAUACUGCUUCAAUUGCCUGGGGAGUCCUCCUCAUAAAAUAUUCACCCAGGCUGAUUCCUUCAAGAGUUUUACCAGCACUUUCUUCAAGUAUUUUUAUAGUUUCAUGUCUUAAGUUUAAAUCUUUUAU
Molecule: RNA transcript, 7016 nt
Organism: Nycticebus coucang (slow loris)
Lineage: Eukaryota; Metazoa; Chordata; Mammalia; Primates; Lorisidae
Gene name: sulfotransferase 2A1-like
Exons: 7
Source: RefSeq, a predicted model, not a curated record